GACUCGUCACACUAUCAUUAACUGAAUCCAUAGGUUAAUGAGGCGAACCGGGGGAACUGAAACAUCUAAGUACCCCGAGGAAAAGAAAUCAACCGAGAUUCCCCCAGUAGCGGCGAGCGAACGGGGAGGAGCCCAGAGCCUGAAUCAGCAUGUGUGUUAGUGGAAGCGUCUGGAAAGGCGCGCGAUACAGGGUGACAGCCCCGUACACAAAAGCGCAUGUGCUGUGAGCUCGAUGAGUAGGGCGGGACACGUGGUAUCCUGUCUGAAUAUGGGGGGACCAUCCUCCAAGGCUAAAUACUCCUGACUGACCGAUAGUGAACCAGUACCGUGAGGGAAAGGCGAAAAGAACCCCGGCGAGGGGAGUGAAAAAGAACCUGAAACCGUGUACGUACAAGCAGUGGGAGCACCCUUUGGGGUGUGACUGCGUACCUUUUGUAUAAUGGGUCAGCGACUUAUAUUCUGUAGCAAGGUUAACCGAAUAGGGGAGCCGGAGGGAAACCG
RNAcentral lists this ribosomal RNA (501 nucleotides) under Salmonella enterica. RNAcentral describes it as "partial 23S ribosomal RNA". It matches the Rfam family "Bacterial large subunit ribosomal RNA", at positions 137 to 679 of the family's 2925-position model. The record is from RNAcentral. Lineage: Bacteria; Pseudomonadati; Pseudomonadota; Gammaproteobacteria; Enterobacterales; Enterobacteriaceae.